RNAcentral lists this ribosomal RNA (274 nucleotides) under uncultured bacterium. RNAcentral's name for it is "partial 16S ribosomal RNA". It matches the Rfam family "Bacterial small subunit ribosomal RNA", at positions 523 to 796 of the family's 1533-position model. The record is from RNAcentral.
AUACGGAGGGUGCGAGCGUUAAUCGGAAUUACUGGGCAUAAAGCGUGCGUAGGCGGUUUGCUAAGUCAGAUGUGAAAGCCCCGGGCUUAACCUGGGAACUGCAUUUGAUACUGGCAGACUAGAGUAUGAUAGAGGGGGGUAGAAUUCCUGGUGUAGCGGUGAAAUGCGUAGAUAUCAGGAGGAAUACCAGUGGCGAAGGCGGCCCCCUGGAUCAAUACUGACGCUGAGGUACGAAAGCGUGGGGAGCGAACAGGAUUAGAAACCCUAGUAGUCC